GGGAUGUUAGUAAAACAAUUACAUAGUCUUGUCAAGGCUAAAUUACAGGUGGAAUUCCUGUACACCCCA
RNAcentral lists this transfer RNA (69 nucleotides) under Hirundo smithii. RNAcentral describes it as "tRNA-Asp". Lineage: Eukaryota; Metazoa; Chordata; Aves; Passeriformes; Hirundinidae. The record is from RNAcentral.